GGGGAACAGGGACAGAAAUGAAGCUCAGUUGUUUCAGGGAGGAGGGGCUCUUCAGGACCAAGAAAGUGCCCAUUCUGGGUUUCUGCUGCUUCUCUCCUCCACCUGGGGGGUGUGAGUCAUGGCUUGUCAGGCUGGUGGGCCACACACAGGUUCCAGGGGUACACCCUCCUCUGACCUUGGAAAUAGAAGGGAAGAAAGCAAUUUCCCUCACAGUGCUGAAAAGACAAGUUGAGUCAUAAAGGGAAAAAAAGGCUUUCUUCUGCUGAGUAAAGGAGAGCAUUCCUGCCCAGUUACGGGGGGUGGAGAGUCUCUACCCAUUCCUGGGGGCCACCCCAGAAGGGGGCCCUAGCUCUGGGGUGGGAGCAGCUUUGAGGGCUGCACUCUAAAUAACUAUGCAGCUCUAGAAAACAAAACAAAACAAAAAAAAUGAAAUAAC
This 436-nucleotide small RNA is filed under the name Pongo abelii (Sumatran orangutan). RNAcentral describes it as "sense intronic". The record is from RNAcentral. Lineage: Eukaryota; Metazoa; Chordata; Mammalia; Primates; Hominidae.